UAGCUAGGUGGUAAGGUAACGGCUUACCAAGGCUUUGAUGUUUAGGGGUCCUGAGAGGGUGAUCCCCCACACUGGUACUGAGACACGGACCAGACUCCUACGGGAGGCAGCAGUGAGGAAUAUUGGUCAAUGGGCGCAAGCCUGAACCAGCCAUCCCGCGUGCAGGAAGACGGCCCUAUGGGUUGUAAACUGCUUUUCCAGGGGGAGAAACUUGCGCACGUGUUGCGCAAUUGACGGUACCCUGGGAAUAAGCAUCGGCUAACUCCGUGCCAGCAGCCGCGGUAAUACGGAGGAUGCGAGCGUUAUCCGGAUUCAUUGGGUUUAAAGGGUGCGUAGGCGGACUAUUAAGUCAGUGGUGAAAUCCUGCAGCUUAACUGCAGAACUGCCAUUGAUACUGACAGCCUUGAGUUUGGUUAAGGUAGGCGGAAUGUGUAAUGUAGCGGUGAAAUGCUUAGAUAUUACACAGAACACCAAUUGCGUAGGCAGCUUACUGAGCCGACACUGACGCUGAGGCACGAAAGCGUGGGGAUCGAACAGGAUUAGAUACCCUGGUAGUCCACGCCGUAAACGAUGAUUACUCGCUGUUGGCGAUACACUGUCAGCGGCUAAGCAAAAGCAAUAAGUAAUCCACCUGGGGAGUACGGCCGCAAGGUUGAAACUCAAAGGAAUUGACGGGGGCCCGCACAAGCGGAGGAACAUGUGUUUAAUUCGAUGAUACGCGAGGAACCUUACUGGGCUUAAAUGUAGAGUGCAUUUCUAGAGAUAGGGAUUCCCUUCGGGCUUUCUGCAGUGCUGCAUGAUGUCGUCAGCUCG
This 813-nucleotide ribosomal RNA is filed under the name uncultured bacterium. RNAcentral describes it as "bacterial SSU rRNA". It matches the Rfam family "Bacterial small subunit ribosomal RNA", at positions 242 to 1062 of the family's 1533-position model. The record is from RNAcentral.